AUACGGAGGGUGCAAGCGUUAUUCGGAAUCACUGGGCGUAAAGGACGCGUAGGCGGGUUGGCAAGUCAGAUGUGAAAUCCUACAGCUUAACUGUAGAACUGCAUUUGAAACUGCUAACCUAGAGUAUGGGAGGGGGAGAUGGAAUUAGUGGUGUAGGGGUAAAAUCCGUAGAUAUCACUAGGAAUACCGAAAGCGAAGGCGAUCUCCUGGAACAUAACUGACGUUAAGGCGUGAAAGCGUGGGGAGCAAACAGGAUUAGAAACCCGUGUAGUCC
Molecule: ribosomal RNA, 274 nt
Filed under: uncultured bacterium
Lineage: Bacteria
Description: partial 16S ribosomal RNA
Rfam family: Bacterial small subunit ribosomal RNA
Source: RNAcentral